This 775-nucleotide ribosomal RNA is filed under the name uncultured Neocallimastigales. RNAcentral describes it as "partial large subunit ribosomal RNA". It matches the Rfam family "Eukaryotic large subunit ribosomal RNA", at positions 24 to 635 of the family's 3401-position model. Lineage: Eukaryota; Fungi; Neocallimastigomycota; Neocallimastigomycetes; Neocallimastigales. The record is from RNAcentral.
UAUGUGAUCGUCUCUCGCAUAUCAAUAAGCGGAGGAAAAGAAACUAACAAGGAUUCCCCUAGUAACGGCGAGUGAAGCGGGAAGAGCUCAAAUUUGAAAUCUUAAAGGGUUUCCCUUUACGAAUUGUAGUUUAAAGAAGUGUUUUCUGUUGAGGUUUUGGUAAAAGUUCUUUGGAAUAGGACAUCAUAGAGGGUGAGAAUCCCGUAUUUGACCUUUACUUUCAACUUUGUGAUACACUUUCAAAGAGUCGGAUUGUUUGGGAAUGCAGUCCAAAAUGGGUGGUAAAUUUCAUCUAAAGCUAAAUAUUGGCGAGAGACCGAUAGCGAACAAGUACCGUGAGGGAAAGAUGAAAAGAACUUUGAAAAGAGAGUUAAACAGUACGUGAAAUUGUCAAAAGGGAAGCGCUUGACACCAGUGUUGUUUUUCUGAAAAUCAAUUAAAGAACUGUUUAUGCUAAGCUGUUUAGACUUUAUCAGCUAUCUGUUUUAGUUUUGAGCUUUUCUUUAAUGCACUUUUCAGUUAACAAGUCAACAUCAAUUUCUUUUGCUGUAAAAAAGCUUGAGGAAGGUGGCUUGAGAUUCGUCUUAAGUGUUUAUAGCCUCUUGCCUAUGCAGUCGGAGAGAUUGAGGUCUGCAGCGUAGAUCCUUCGGGGCUAAAUGCAUUUGUGCUAAGUUAUAGCAUUUUAUAGACAACUUGUUGACUAUGAUUUGUCUUGUAGCUUACUCGCUUAUGUUAUUUUACCUACGCUUAGGAUGUUGAUCUACAGAGCGAGAGU